Molecule: ribosomal RNA, 497 nt
Filed under: uncultured bacterium
Lineage: Bacteria
Description: partial 16S ribosomal RNA
Rfam family: Bacterial small subunit ribosomal RNA
Source: RNAcentral
GACGAACGCUGGCGGCGUGCCUAAUACAUGCAAGUUGAGCGCUGAAGGUUGGUACUUGUACCAACUGGAUGAGCAGCGAACGGGUGAGUAACGCGUGGGGAAUCUGCCUUUGAGCGGGGGACAACAUUUGGAAACGAAUGCUAAUACCGCAUAAAAACUUUAAACACAAGUUUUAAGUUUGAAAGAUGCAAUUGCAUCACUCAAAGAUGAUCCCGCGUUGUAUUAGCUAGUUGGUGAGGUAAAGGCUCACCAAGGCGAUGAUACAUAGCCGACCUGAGAGGGUGAUCGGCCACAUUGGGACUGAGACACGGCCCAAACUCCUACGGGGGGCAGCAGUAGGGAAUCUUCGGCAAUGGACGAAAGUCUGACCGAGCAACGCCGCGUGAGUGAAGAAGGUUUUCGGAUCGUAAAACUCUGUUGGUAGAGAAGAACGUUGGUGAGAGUGGAAAGCUCAUCAAGUGACGGUAACUACUCAGAAAGGGACGGCUAACUACGUG